UUUUCUUCAAGGGUUUCGGAUGAAACCCUAGCGCCGCCACCGCGUCCAUUCUCUCUCCUGCGUCAUCCUCGCUAUAUUUGGCAAAGUAGCAGGUGUACAACACCUUUUUCAGGCCUUGCAUGGCCAGAUCGAGCAAGCAUUUAAUGCUUCGUCUCCAAAUUCACCAAACGCGAUUUUAGAAUCGGAUUUCUAUUGGCUCAUGAGGAACCAAGGAGAUGGACCCGUUCUGCUUCAAAUCUGACCCUCCAUGCGUUUACAUUCUUGAAUCUCGACCUUUGAUUGUGAUUUAGAAGGCAAUCCCUUGAAGAUUUGCAAAGUCCCACAUCGAGUUUGAGGUUGGGGUUUUUCAGAUCUGGGGUAUCUAUAUAAGAUGUUUUAUUUCGCAUUAUAAGAAGGGGAGAUUUUGGGAGGCAAUUUGAAAAAUUAUAUCAUCUUGCAUAUAAAAAUUGAAAUAGCUAGGGUUUUGGCAAGUUUGCUUGGAAACCUUCAUCUUUUCGAUUUAUUUUAAAAAAAUUAAA
Long non-coding RNA from Lycium barbarum (goji berry), 518 nucleotides. RefSeq lists it as uncharacterized. The transcript is spliced from 2 exons. The record is from RefSeq and is a predicted model, not a curated record. Lineage: Eukaryota; Viridiplantae; Streptophyta; Magnoliopsida; Solanales; Solanaceae.